UGAACGCUGGCGGUAUGCUUAACACAUGCAAGUCGAACGGAAACGAUACUAGCUUGCUAGUAGGCGUCGAGUGGCGGACGGGUGAGUAACGCGUAGGAAUCUGCCUGAUAGUGGGGGAUAGCCCGAAGAAAUUCGGAUUAAUACCGCAUAAUCUAUUCGUAGUAAAGUGGGGGACUUUCGAGCCUCACGCUAUCAGAUGAGCCUGCGUAAGAUUAGCUUGUUGGUAGGGUAAAAGCCUACCAAGGCGACGAUCUUUAGCUGGUCUGAGAGGAUGAUCAGCCACAUCGGGACUGAGACACGGCCCGAACUCCUACGGGAGGCAGCAGUGGGGAAUAUUGGACAAUGGGGGCAACCCUGAUCCAGCAAUACCGCGUGUGUGAAGAAGGCCUGAGGGUUGUAAAGCACUUUCAAUUGUGAAGAAAAGUUAGCGGUUAAUAACCGUUAGCCUUGACGUUAACUUUAGAAGAAGCACCGGCUAACUCCGUGCCAGCAGCCGCGGUAAUACGGAGGGUGCAAGCGUUAAUCGGAAUUACUGGGCGUAAAGCGUGCGUAGGCGGUUUAUUAAGUCAGAUGUGAAAGCCCCGGGCUUAACCUGGGAACUGCAUUUGAAACUGGUCAACUAGAGUAUGGUAGAGGAAAGUGGAAUUUCUGGUGUAGCGGUGAAAUGCGUAGAUAUCAGAAGGAACAUCAAUGGCGAAAGGCAGCUUUCUGGACCAAUACUGACGCUGAGGUACGAAAGCGUGGGUAGCAAACAGGAUUAGAUACCCUGGUAGUCCACGCCGUAAACGAUGAUAACUAGCCGUUGGGGGGAUUUACCCUUUAGUGGCGAAGCUAACGCGUUAAGUUAUCCGCCUGGGGAGUACGGCCGCAAGGUUAAAACUCAAAGGAAUUGACGGGGACCCGCACAAGCGGUGGAGCAUGUGGUUUAAUUCGAUGCAACGCGAAGAACCUUACCUGGUCUUGACAUCCUGCGAACUUUCUAGAAAUAGAUUGGUGCCUUCGGGAACGCAGUGACAGGUGCUGCAUGGCUGUCGUCAGCUCGUGUCGUGAGAUGUUGGGUUAAGUCCCGUAACGAGCGCAACCCCUAUCCUUAUUUGCCAGCACAUCAUGGUGGGAACUAUAAGGAGACUGCCGGUGAUAAACCGGAGGAAGGCGGGGACGACGUCAAGUCAUCAUGGCCCUUACGACCAGGGCUACACACGUGCUACAAUGGGAAGGACAAAGAGCCGCGAAGCCGCGAGGUGUAGCUAAUCUCAUAAACCUUUUCGUAGUCCGGAUUGGAGUCUGCAACUCGACUCCAUGAAGUCGGAAUCGCUAGUAAUCGUAGAUCAGAAUGCUACGGUGAAUACGUUCCCGGGUCUUGUACACACCGCCC
RNAcentral lists this ribosomal RNA (1375 nucleotides) under uncultured bacterium. RNAcentral describes it as "16S ribosomal RNA". It matches the Rfam family "Bacterial small subunit ribosomal RNA", at positions 30 to 1395 of the family's 1533-position model. The record is from RNAcentral.